This 274-nucleotide ribosomal RNA is filed under the name uncultured bacterium. RNAcentral's name for it is "partial 16S ribosomal RNA". It matches the Rfam family "Bacterial small subunit ribosomal RNA", at positions 523 to 796 of the family's 1533-position model. The record is from RNAcentral.
AUACGGAGGGUGCAAGCGUUGUUCGGAAUCACUGGGCGUAAAGGGCGCGCAGGCGGUUUGGUAAGUCAGAUGUGAAAGCCCAUGGCUCAACCAUGGAAGUGCAUUUGAAACUGUCAGACUUGAGUACUAGAGGGGAAAGUGGAAUUCCCGGUGUAGAAGUGAAAUUCGUAGAUAUCGGGAGGAAUACCGGUGGCGAAGGCGACUUUCUGGCUAGAUACUGACGCUGAGGCGCGAAAGCGUGGGGAGCAAACAGGAUUAGAUACCCUAGUAGUCC